RNAcentral lists this ribosomal RNA (551 nucleotides) under uncultured bacterium. Its description in RNAcentral is "bacterial SSU rRNA". It matches the Rfam family "Bacterial small subunit ribosomal RNA", at positions 1 to 547 of the family's 1533-position model. The record is from RNAcentral.
AGAGGUUUGAUCCUGGCUCAGAUUGAACGCUGGCGGCAUGCCUAACACAUGCAAGUCGAACGGAAACGAUGGGAGCUUGCUCCCAGGCGUCGAGUGGCGGACGGGUGAGUAAUACUUAGGAAUCUGCCCAUUAGCGGGGGACAACUCGGGGAAACUCGAGCUAAUACCGCAUACGCCCUACGGGGGAAAGCGGAGGACUCUUCGGAGCUUCGCACUAAUGGAUGAGCCUAAGCCGGAUUAGCUAGUUGGUAGGGUAAAAGCCUACCAAGGCGACGAUCCGUAGCUGGUCUGAGAGGACGAUCAGCCACACUGGGACUGAGACACGGCCCAGACUCCUACGGGAGGCAGCAGUGGGGAAUAUUGCACAAUGGGCGCAAGCCUGAUGCAGCAAUGCCGCGUGUGUGAAGAAGGCCUGCGGGUUGUAAAGCACUUUCAGUAGAGAAGAAAAGCCUAGGGUUAAUACCCCUGAGUCUUGACGUUACCUACAGAAGAAGCUCCGGCUAACUCCGUGCCAGCAGCCGCGGUAAUACGGAGGGAGCGAGCGUUAAUUC